Molecule: ribosomal RNA, 373 nt
Filed under: uncultured bacterium
Lineage: Bacteria
Description: partial 16S ribosomal RNA
Rfam family: Bacterial small subunit ribosomal RNA
Source: RNAcentral
CCUACGGGUGGCAGCAGUGAGGAAUAUUGGUCAAUGGACGGAAGUCUGAACCAGCCAUGCCGCGUGCAGGAAGACGGCUCUAUGAGUUGUAAACUGCUUUUGUACAAGGGUAAACCUGAAUACGUGUAUUCAGCUGAAAGUACUGUACGAAUCAGGAUCGGCGAACUCCGUUCCAUCAUCAGCGGGCAUACGGAGGAUCCAAGCGUUAUCCGGAUUUAUUGGGUUUAAAGGGUGCGUAGGCGGAUUGAAAAGUUAGAGGUGAAAUGUAAGAGCUUAACUCGGGAACUGAAUAUAAUAAUGUUGAUAUAGAGAGUAGAUGAGGUAGGAGGAAUGUAUGGUGUAGAGGUGAAAUGAUUAGAGAUAAGAAAGAAAA